UGACCUCAAAUCAGGUAGGAUUACCCGCUGAACUUAAGCAUAUCAAUAAGCGGAGGAAAAGAAACUAACAAGGAUUCCCCUAGUAACUGCGAGUGAAGCGGGAUGAGCUCAAAUUUAAAAUCUGGCGGUCUCUGGCCGUCCGAGUUGUAUUCUGGAGAA
RNAcentral lists this ribosomal RNA (159 nucleotides) under Gloeophyllum sepiarium. RNAcentral describes it as "partial 28S ribosomal RNA". It matches the Rfam family "Eukaryotic large subunit ribosomal RNA", at positions 1 to 157 of the family's 3401-position model. The record is from RNAcentral. Lineage: Eukaryota; Fungi; Basidiomycota; Agaricomycetes; Gloeophyllales; Gloeophyllaceae.